Rosa rugosa (rugosa rose) is the source of this 978-nucleotide long non-coding RNA. RefSeq lists it as uncharacterized. The record is from RefSeq and is a predicted model, not a curated record. The transcript is spliced from 4 exons. Lineage: Eukaryota; Viridiplantae; Streptophyta; Magnoliopsida; Rosales; Rosaceae.
UUGGACGAUAUAUUAAUCGUCGAGAUUUCAUAUAAUUGUUCAAUAGAUAAUUAACGGUUGAAAUGUCGGAAUCUAGGACUCCAGUUACCCGAGGAACAGAAGGUUCGCGACUCUCGGAGUACGUGAGAGAAAGCAUCGGAAUCCAGGUAGGGAUUCAGGACUCUCCUCGGUUGGUGAUUUUCUUUUAUAUUUUAUUAAUGUGAUGCAUGAUAAGUGGUAUGGGUUGGUUAUGUAAAAUGCAAUGCAUACUAACCAAUCCGUGAGAAAAUGUGUGAUGGCUUGAGAGCGAAAGGUGGCUCUGACUUCCUUGGGUUCGAUCCCCUUAACCUCCGGAGGGUUAGUUACGCCGGUCGUCCGGGUAUUCCGAUCGUAAUAACGGGCCCGGUACGUGUGUGUAGCUAGGUAGUGGACGCUCUCGCUACGCUUACCUGGUGAUAAAUUAAUUUGAGGUAAGGUCGUGUAGUGGGUCUAUGGGACCGGCCAUCAGGUAAUACUUGGUUUUGGCGCCGUAUUUAUUUAAGCAUCAUGCAUCGGUUUUCAAGUUGAAAAACAUUAAAGUUUGUCGUUCUUUUAAAUAAUUGGUUUAAGUAUGUUUUCAUACUGGAGCUCCAAAAUCUAUUUAUCGGUUUCAAACCUAGUCGAGUUAGAGUUCCUAUUGAGCAGCGAGGACGAAAGCUCACCCCUACAACAGUAUGGAUGCAGGUACUGUGCACUGGUGACGGGACAAUAGCGGACGGAGCUGGGUGUGCGGAACAAGUUCGGGCUGAAGGAAGCACUAUCAAAGGAAAGCACUUUCACUUGGACAAAUAAUCAGGAUCCAGAUUCCAGAUGGCCAAUUAGAUAGAGAAGGGCAGCAACAAAUGUCUUUGUCAACUUCAACUUAAAAGAACAAGGUCAGGGGUGGCCUAUUAUUGGGUUAUGCAGAAGGAUGUGAUCAAGAUAAUUCCAUCAAUUCAUAUGCUACUCUGUACUCAUUAG